UUGAACGCUGGCGGCAGGCCUAACACAUGCAAGUCGAGCGGUAGCACAGAGAAGCUUGCUUCUUGGGUGACAAGCGGCGGACGGGUGAGUAACGCGUAGGAAUCUACCUAAUAGUGGGGGAUAGCCCAGGGAAACUUGGAUUAAUACCGCAUACGCCCUACGGGGAAAGCGGGGGGGGAUCUUCGGACCUCGUGCUAUUAGAUGAGCCUGCGUAAGAUUAGCUAGUUGGUGAGGUAAAGGCUCACCAAGGCGACGAUCUUUAGCUGGUCUGAGAGGAUGAUCAGCCACACUGGGACUGAGACACGGCCCAGACUCCUACGGGAGGCAGCAGUGGGGAAUAUUGGACAAUGGGGGCAACCCUGAUCCAGCCAUGCCGCGUGUGUGAAGAAGGCCUUCGGGUUGUAAAGCACUUUCAGAUGUGAGGAAAGGUUGCAGAUUAAUACUCUGCAGCUGUGACGUUAACAUCAGAAGAAGGACCGGCUAACUCCGUG
This 491-nucleotide ribosomal RNA is filed under the name uncultured bacterium. RNAcentral's name for it is "bacterial SSU rRNA". It matches the Rfam family "Bacterial small subunit ribosomal RNA", at positions 30 to 507 of the family's 1533-position model. The record is from RNAcentral.